GGUAGCUCAGGGGUAGAGUGCUUGCCUUGCAAGCAUGAGGCCCUGAGUUCCAUUCCUCAGUGCCA
This 65-nucleotide transfer RNA is filed under the name Dipodomys ordii (Ord's kangaroo rat). It matches the Rfam family "tRNA". Rfam says of the family: Transfer RNA (tRNA) molecules are approximately 80 nucleotides in length. Their secondary structure includes four short double-helical elements and three loops (D, anti-codon, and T loops). Further hydrogen bonds mediate the characteristic L-shaped molecular structure. tRNAs have two regions of fundamental functional importance: the anti-codon, which is responsible for specific mRNA codon recognition, and the 3' end, to which the tRNAs corresponding amino acid is attached (by aminoacyl-tRNA synthetases). tRNAs cope with the degeneracy of the genetic code in two manners: having more than one tRNA (with a specific anti-codon) for a particular amino acid; and 'wobble' base-pairing, i.e. permitting non-standard base-pairing at the 3rd anti-codon position. Lineage: Eukaryota; Metazoa; Chordata; Mammalia; Rodentia; Heteromyidae. The record is from Rfam by way of RNAcentral.